UACGUAGGGGCCUAGCGUUGUCCGGAAUUAUUGGGCGUAAAGAGCUCGUAGGCGGUUCGGCAAGUCGGAUGUGAAAUCUCCACGCUUAACGUGGAGGGGCCAUUCGAAACUGCCGUGACUCGAGUCCGGUAGGGGAGUGCGGAAUUCCCGGUGUAGCGGUGAAAUGCGCAGAUAUCGGGAGGAACACCAGUGGCGAAGGCGGCACUCUGGGCCGGAACUGACGCUGAGGAGCGAAAGCGUGGGGAGCGAACAGG
This 254-nucleotide ribosomal RNA is filed under the name uncultured bacterium. Its description in RNAcentral is "partial 16S ribosomal RNA". It matches the Rfam family "Bacterial small subunit ribosomal RNA", at positions 524 to 776 of the family's 1533-position model. The record is from RNAcentral.